AGAGUUUGAUCCUGGCUCAGAAUGAACGUUGGCGGCGUGGAUUAGGCAUGCAAGUCGAACGAGAUCUGUAGCAAUACAGUGAAAGUGGCGAAAGGGAGAGUAAUACGUAGGUACCUGCCCUCGGGUCUGGGAUAGCUGCGGGAAACUGCAAUUAAUACCGGAUGAUGUCUCUGGACCAAAGGUGUGAUUCCGCCAGGGGAUGGGCCUGCGUCCUAUCAGCUAGUUGGUGUGGUAAAGGCGCACCAAGGCGAAGACGGGUACGGGGUGUGAGAGCAUGCCCCCGCUCACUGGGACUGAGAUACUGCCCAGACACCUACGGGUGGCUGCAGUCGAGAAUCUUCCGCAAUGGGCGAAAGCCUGACGGAGCGACGCCGCGUGUGGGAUGAAGGCCUUCGGGUUGUAAACCACUGUCAGUGGGGAGCAAAUGCAUCGGGGUUCUCCCCGGUGUUUGAGCGAUCCGCAGAGGAAGCACAGGCUAAUUCCGUGCCAGCAGCCGCGGUAAUACGGAAUGUGCAAACGUUAUUCGGAAUCACUGGGCUUAAAGAGUCCGUAGGCGGCCUGUUAGGUGAGGUGUGAAAUCCCACGGCUCAACCGUGGAAUUGCGCUUCAAACCGGCAGGCUCGAGGAAGAUAGAGGUGGACGGAACUGAUGUGGAGCGGUGAAAUGCGUUGAUAUCAUCAGGAACACCGGAGGCGAAGGCGGUCCACUGGGUCUUUUCUGACGCUGAGGGACGAAAGCUAGGGGAGCGAACGGGAUUAGAUACCCCGGUAGUCCUAGCCUUAAACGAUGAGCACUAGACC
RNAcentral lists this ribosomal RNA (800 nucleotides) under uncultured bacterium. Its description in RNAcentral is "bacterial SSU rRNA". It matches the Rfam family "Bacterial small subunit ribosomal RNA", at positions 8 to 822 of the family's 1533-position model. The record is from RNAcentral.